RNAcentral lists this ribosomal RNA (461 nucleotides) under uncultured bacterium. RNAcentral describes it as "partial 16S ribosomal RNA". It matches the Rfam family "Bacterial small subunit ribosomal RNA", at positions 29 to 506 of the family's 1533-position model. The record is from RNAcentral.
AACAAACGCUGGCGGCGUGCCUAAUACAUGCAAGUCGAACGGGGAAAGCUUUCGGGUGAGUACUAGUGGCGCACGGGUGAGGAACGCGUGGAUAAUCUGCCUUAGAGUGGGGGAUAACUAGUCGAAAGAUUAGCUAAUACCGCAUAAGACCACGAGAGCUGCGGCUUUUGAGGUCAAAGGUUUUUCGCUCUAAGAUGAGUCCGCGUAAGAUUAGCUAGUUGGUGAGGUAACGGCUCACCAAGGCGACGAUCUUUAACUGGUCUGAGAGGAUGAUCAGUCACACUGGAACUGAGACACGGUCCAGACUCCUACGGGAGGCAGCAGUAGGGAAUAUUGCACAAUGGAGGAAACUCUGAUGCAGCGACGCCGCGGGGGGAAUGAAGGCCUUGGGGUCGUAAAGCUCUGUCGCAGGGGAAUAAAAAAAUGAAGGUACCCUGUAAGAAAGGAUCGGCUAACUUCGU